GAUGAACGCUGGCGGCGUGCCUAAUACAUGCAAGUCGAGCGAACAGAUGAGGAGCUUGCUCCUCUGACGUUAGCGGCGGACGGGUGAGUAACACGUGGAUAACCUACCUAUAAGACUGGGAUAACUUCGGGAAACCGGAGCUAAUACCGGAUAAUAUAUUGAACCGCAUGGUUCAAUAGUGAAAGACGGUUUUGCUGUCACUUAUAGAUGGAUCCGCGCCGCAUUAGCUAGUUGGUAAGGUAACGGCUUACCAAGGCAACGAUGCGUAGCCGACCUGAGAGGGUGAUCGGCCACACUGGAACUGAGACACGGUCCAGACUCCUACGGGAGGCAGCAGUAGGGAAUCUUCCGCAAAGGGCGAAAGCGUGACGGAGCAACGCCGCGUGAGUGAUGAAGGUCUUCGGAUCGUAAAACUCUGUUAUUAGGGAAGAACAAAUGUGUAAGUAACUAUGCACGUCUUGACGGUACCUAAUCAGAAAGCCACGGCUAACUACGUG
RNAcentral lists this ribosomal RNA (497 nucleotides) under uncultured bacterium. Its description in RNAcentral is "partial 16S ribosomal RNA". It matches the Rfam family "Bacterial small subunit ribosomal RNA", at positions 28 to 507 of the family's 1533-position model. The record is from RNAcentral.